This 252-nucleotide ribosomal RNA is filed under the name uncultured bacterium. RNAcentral's name for it is "partial 16S ribosomal RNA". It matches the Rfam family "Bacterial small subunit ribosomal RNA", at positions 524 to 776 of the family's 1533-position model. The record is from RNAcentral.
UACGUAGGGGGCAAGCGGUUGUCCGGAUUUAUUGGGCGUAAAGAGCGCGUAGGCGGUCCGAUAAGUCGGCUGUGAAAGUCAGGGGCUCAACCCUUGAAAGCCGGCCGAUACUGUCGGACUAGAGUCCGGAAGAGGCAAGUGGAAUUCCCGGUGUAGCGGUGAAAUGCGCAGAUAUCGGGAGGAACACCAAUGGCGAAGGCAAGCUGCUGGGACGGUACUGACGCUGAGGCGCGAAAGCGUGGGAGCAACGGG